Molecule: long non-coding RNA, 1223 nt
Organism: Tachyglossus aculeatus (Australian echidna)
Lineage: Eukaryota; Metazoa; Chordata; Mammalia; Monotremata; Tachyglossidae
Exons: 5
Source: RefSeq, a predicted model, not a curated record
ACAGACAGACAGACAGACAGACAGACAGAGGGCGGAGAUGGCCCCUGAUGGAUGGCUUGCAAGCAGGUGCAGAAACUCCAGGACCAGGUUUCUCUGCGGGAGAUCCCUGCGGCCAAGAUCCCGAAGCCCUGCUUCCCUGAGGACAGGCUCCAAGGUGAGCAGAUGAUUUCAACGUUGCUUUUGAUGAAAACCAUCUACCAUCUCAACUUGGAGGAGCGGGAAAGAAAAGAUCAGGACAGAAGGGAGAUAAAAGUCUCAGGAACGAGGAGGCAAAGGAAAUGUCACUGAAGAAAGGCAUCUGCUCCAAAAAGUGGUGAAGGGAGAAGAAGAGGGAGAAGCAUGGCAUCCUCCAAAGAGAACAGGCCGUGAGAUGAUAAAUGAAAGAAUCGGGGAGACUGGGAAGAAAAUGUCUCUGAAGAGAGGAGAGAAACUUAACAGAGUUCCUGGAGAAAUAUGUCAAGGGACGGGGUUGGAGGAUGGGACGUAGUGCCUGCCCAGGAGAAGAGGACAGGCAAGGAAAAUGGAAGACACAGUGAGAGAAGGAAGACGAGGCGCGUGCACGCCAGAGGUGCGUACUGCCGAAGAUGGCCCCUGAUGGAUGGCUUGCAGGCAGGUGCAGAAACUCCAGGACCAGGUUUCUCUGCGGGAGAUCCCUGCAGCCAAGAUCUUGAAGCCCUGCUUUCCCUGAGGACAGGCUCCAAGAUGAUUUCAACGUUGCUUUUGAUGAAAACCAUCUACCAUCUCAACUUGGAGGAGCGGGAAAGAAAAGAUCAGGACAGAAGGGAGAUAAAAGUCUCAGGAGCGAGGAGGUAAAGGAAAUGUCACUGAAGAAAGACAUCUGCCCCAAAAAGUGGUGAAGGGAGAAGAAGAGGGAGAAGCAUGGCAUCCUCCAAAGAGAACAGGCCAUGAGAUGAUAAAUGAAAGCAUCGGGGAGAUUGGGAAAAAAAAGUCUCUGAAGAGAGGAGAGAAACUUAACAGAGUUCCUGGAAAAACAUGUCAAGGGAUGGGGUGGGAGGACGGGACGUAUGGCCUGCCCAGGAGAAGAGGACAGGCAAGGAAAAUGGAAGACGCAGUGAGAGGAAAGGAAGACAAGGUGCGUGCACACCAGAGGUGCAUACUGCCGAAGGUACGGCCGUCCCGAGCACCCCUGUUAUUCGUUCAAUCGUAUUUACUGUGUGCAGAGCACACAGUAAGUACAAUUAGGACAGUGCAAUUCGGCAACA